Molecule: long non-coding RNA, 1209 nt
Filed under: Canis lupus familiaris (dog)
Lineage: Eukaryota; Metazoa; Chordata; Mammalia; Carnivora; Canidae
Description: lncRNA (ENSCAFG00000056193.1, ENSCAFG00805005127.1)
Source: RNAcentral
CCAUCAUGAAAUAUACCAGCUGCUCAAAAUUUGGUGGAAUGGGUAAAUCCAAAUCCACAUUGUUGCAGAUUUGAACACCUGUUGCUCAGACACUAAUAUAUCAGAUACAAAGCAAGCUUAGAAAUCCAAGGGCUGAAUGAUAUAGCAAAGGGCCUCUAGCUUUUAGAACUGCAGCUAGCAAGCAGGGAACUCACUUCAUUUGUGCACAUGGGGAGUUUUACCAUCUGUUUAGUCAUGUGAAACAGCUUGUUAAAUUCCCAGAUACCAUGUUCUGCGUCCCUACUGUGGUGAAGUUACAGUCACCAACCAAAGGGGGCAGAGAGUGGAUGGCUUCUCCCCUUGGGGAUGUGCGUUUCUCCAGCAUCUGGGUCUCCCAAAGUGUAAGUGGCUUCCAGUGGGGGACUUUCCCCAAAGGACCUGGGCCAGGGAGGCCAGUGGCCAGGCUGUAGGGCUGCUGGCCUGUGUCUGUCCUCCCAUUGCUCCUAUCUCUCCAGCCCUUUCCUCCUCCAAAUCCCUGCUAGAAGGCACGGAAGAGGCUACCUCUAGAUGAGGCAGGGGAGCUUCUGAAGUUGCCUUCUGACGUGUGGGGUGGAUUGUGUGAGGAAUGGUUGGCCAUUCCAAGCCGGCCAGCCUCACAUUCUGGGUUCAAACUGGUAUGGGCACUUAGCACUUCCUGGGAGCCUUCCUCGGGUUUUGUUUCAUGCCGUCCAGUAGGGUGAUGGAAUUGUGACCUCUUGCCCAUCUAGAGGCAAGAGACAGUAACAAUCCUUUGGGGCGAGAGGUGUCCCUGCUGAACCCUGAAAGUUGCCCUGAAGAGCCUGGGACCCAGAGGUGUCUCUAUGGAACCCUCCACUAUAGUUUCUGAUCAGACAAGCAACCCUAACCUGUAAACCUCUUUGGCCUGGCAAGCCUCCCCAAGAUGGACCCCAGUCCACUGAUGUGUAUCCUUGGAAGAGGGGGAACCCUAUUUCCUGUUCUAAGAUAGCACCUAGUUUGGCAAACCACCGCUUCUUUCUCCUUCCCAAACUCCCCCCCAGGCCAAUGAUUAGGUCUCCCCACCAAUGCCUGAAGGGGCAAUGGAGGCAAUCCCUUUGUCCUCAGGCAAAAUACAGAAUCAAAUAUAAGUGAUCAGAGAUUUCAGACUUGAAAAUUAUGGUGUCUCCAUGCACAGGGUUUGGGAAGAUGCAUAGGAGGCGCCUCAAGGGACAC